RNAcentral lists this ribosomal RNA (515 nucleotides) under uncultured bacterium. RNAcentral describes it as "partial 16S ribosomal RNA". It matches the Rfam family "Bacterial small subunit ribosomal RNA", at positions 28 to 523 of the family's 1533-position model. The record is from RNAcentral.
GAUGAACGCUGGCGGCGUGCCUAAUACAUGCAAGUCGAGCGAAUGGAUUAAGAGCUUGCUCUUAUGAAGUUAGCGGCGGACGGGUGAGUAACACGUGGGUAACCUGCCCAUAAGACUAGGAUAACUCCGGGAAACCGGGGCUAAUACCGGAUAACAUUUUGAACCGCAUGGUUCGAAAUUGAAAGGCGGCUUCGACUGUCACUUAUGGAUGGACCCGCGUCGCAUUAGCUAGUUGGUGAGGUAACGGCUCACCAAGGCAACGAUGCGUAGCCGACCUGAGAGGGUGAUCGGCCACACUGGGACUGAGACACGGCCCAGACUCCUACGGGAGGCAGCAGUAGGGAAUCUUCCGCAAUGGACGAAAGUCUGACGGAGCAACGCCGCGUGAGUGAUGAAGGCUUUCGGGUCGUAAAACUCUGUUGUUAGGGAAGAACAAGUGCUAGUUGAAUAAGCUGGCACCUUGACGGUACCUAACCAGAAAGCCGCGGCUAACUACGUGCCAGCCGCCGCGGUAA